RNAcentral lists this ribosomal RNA (245 nucleotides) under uncultured Frederiksenia sp. RNAcentral's name for it is "partial 16S ribosomal RNA". It matches the Rfam family "Bacterial small subunit ribosomal RNA", at positions 524 to 768 of the family's 1533-position model. The record is from RNAcentral. Lineage: Bacteria; Pseudomonadati; Pseudomonadota; Gammaproteobacteria; Pasteurellales; Pasteurellaceae.
UACGGAGGGUGCGAGCGUUAAUCGGAAUGACUGGGCGUAAAGGGCACGCAGGCGGAUUGUUAAGUGAGAUGUGAAAGCCCCGAGCUCAACUUGGGAAUUGCAUUUCAGACUGGCAGUCUAGAGUAUUUUAGGGAGGGGUAGAAUUCCACGUGUAGCGGUGAAAUGCGUAGAGAUGUGGAGGAAUACCGAAGGCGAAGGCAGCCCCUUGGGAAUAUACUGACGCUCAUGUGCGAAAGCGUGGGGAG